GGGGGGGGGGGGACUGUCACAUCCCGCUUCUUUGCCCAUUCCUGUUUCCUCUCUAACAGGGCUCUAAUAAGCCAUGCCUGAUCCCCGUUAAGUCGAACCUGAUUUAUUAAUAAGUGGUUAGGUUUCCAACAGAGCAAAGUACUUAAAAUCUUCAUCGAAUUUAUUGAACUGGUCAACCAAUCAGCAAUUUAUUCCUGCAUACACCUCCCCAGUAAUUCACGGUCCAAUGAAAAGUAAGGACUAAGAAGGGUUUGGCCGACCUUCAAGGAACUACAGUAAGAAAACGUUCCUGUGCUGCGGACAGGACAAAGUUCCUGGUUCAAAAAAGGGUAGUGAGGUGGGAAAGCAAUUAAUAAUAGUAGAUUUGCUACAAAAAAGCAGCUAUUUCACUGGAUAGGCUAAUAGAAGAAUUAUUACAUUCCAGUUAUUACAUUAUUGGCUGCUACAGGCACUGUUGCGAACUCCUCAGCAAGGAAAGUCGCUAUUGACUGUCCCAGAGGUCGCUAAGUUGGCAACACUGGCUAUAGGGGCUACCCCCCCCAAAGCAAGAUUAUGCAGUUAUUCUGAUAACUUUAAAAGUUUUUUCAAAGUAUGUUGUCAGGAAACCCGAAUCCUGGCCGCAUAUCAACAUCCAUGAUCCAUUGGACCUUUUGGGAAGUUACAUGGAUCCCUGUUCAGCUGCUUUUCAUUUAAGCAGACAAUGUCAGAGGUGUGUGUUUCUAUUGUGGUAGUGAGGAUGGAGACACACUAUGGGUUUGCUGUGACAGUUGUGAACGGUCGUCUCACAUAAGCUGUGUUCAGCAUCCUUCAGUGGAGAAGGACUAUUUGUGCCCAGCAUGCAUAUGAAUAAUAGCCAGCCACUAGGCAGUAGGGGGCAAUGCAUGCACCCCCAUGGCGAGUCUCGUGCCUCCCCACUCAUGAAGAUCAUGUAAAAAAAUUACGUAAUUCAAUAGUUAUUGCACAUAAUGUUAUGUUAAUUUGAUGUAAUUAAAUUUGAUGUAAUUUCAUUUGAUUAAAUUUUUUGUUAAUUUGUGUUAAUUUAAUAAUUGCUCCACAUAAUUUUAUUUAUUACGAAUGUCGUAUUUAUUUGUUUUUUGUCGUCACUGUUAAUUUUAAUCUUAUUGAUUAAAAACAGAGAUAUUGAGAAAGUUUAUGAAAUUCUAGUUUUUUUCUAAAUGUUUCA
Molecule: long non-coding RNA, 1183 nt
Organism: Brienomyrus brachyistius
Lineage: Eukaryota; Metazoa; Chordata; Actinopteri; Osteoglossiformes; Mormyridae
Exons: 3
Source: RefSeq, a predicted model, not a curated record